AACUGAUACUACCUGCGGGAACCUGCGGAGGGAUCAUUACCGAGUUUACAACUCCCAAACCCCAUGUGAACAUACCUGUUUCGUUCCCUCGGCGGUGUCCGGCAACGGCCCGCCAGAGGACCCAACAAACUCUUUUGAAUUUUUCAGUAUCUUCUGAGUGAAAAAAACAAUAAAUCAAAACUUUCAGCAACGGAUCUCU
RNAcentral lists this unclassified non-coding RNA (199 nucleotides) under soil metagenome. Its description in RNAcentral is "partial contains 5.8S ribosomal RNA, internal transcribed spacer 2, and large subunit ribosomal RNA". The record is from RNAcentral.